RNAcentral lists this ribosomal RNA (492 nucleotides) under uncultured bacterium. RNAcentral describes it as "partial 16S ribosomal RNA". It matches the Rfam family "Bacterial small subunit ribosomal RNA", at positions 29 to 507 of the family's 1533-position model. The record is from RNAcentral.
AGUGAACGCUGGCGGUAGGCCUAACACAUGCAAGUCGAACGGCAGCACAGUAAGAGCUUGCUCUUACGGGUGGCGAGUGGCGGACGGGUGAGGAAUACAUCGGAAUCUACUUUUUCGUGGGGGAUAACGUAGGUAAACUUACGCUAAUACCGCAUACGACCUACGGGUGAAAGCAGUGGAUCUUCGGACCUUGCGCGAUUGAAUGAGCCGAUGUCGGAUUAGCUAGUUGGCGGGGUAAAGGCCCACCAAGGCGACGAUCCGUAGCUGGUCUGAGAGGCUGAUCAGCCACACUGGAACUGAGACACGGUCCAGACUCCUACGAGAGGCAGCAGUGGGGAAUAUUGGACAAUGGGCGCAAGCCUGAUCCAGCCAUACCGCGUGGGUGAAGAAGGCCUUCGGGUUGUAAAGCCCUUUUGUUGGGAAAGAACAGCAGCAGGUUAAUACCCCGCUGUUCUGACGGUACCCAAAGAAUAAGCACCGGCUAACUUCGUG